UGUUGAACUAUAAGAAAUUUAUUUUUAAGCAAAAGCAGGCCAAAGUGUCGAAGUGCAACAAAUAAUGCUAAGAUCAUUAUGUUCACAAUUGGUCCACUUCAAUAAAAACAUAUAUUUCUUCUCAAGAAAUAAAGAUAUAUCUAGCAGUAGGGAUUUUGCAGGACAAGGCUACAAGGGUAAACAUUGUUGUUGAUUAGUGAGAUUACAGUAGACAUGUCAUGGAUGAGAGGUGAGCCAGCAAGCAAAUUCGGACGUUCUCUCAAGACGAGCAGCAGCCACUAUUCUGAGCAACGGGCUGUCCACGAAUAUUUACAUUUGGAGGCUGGGCAGCAUUUGGGACCGGUUGGUUUGCCAUACUUUUCUUGAUAGCAGCAGUCAUAGCCAUGAAAGACUCUUCUACGUUACUAGCAUCUUUCGCACUGGUCUCCAAGAAUGGAAUA
RNAcentral lists this unclassified non-coding RNA (440 nucleotides) under Hevea brasiliensis (rubber tree). The record is from RNAcentral. Lineage: Eukaryota; Viridiplantae; Streptophyta; Magnoliopsida; Malpighiales; Euphorbiaceae.